This is a non-coding RNA of Petromyzon marinus (sea lamprey), 2345 nucleotides long. The record is from RefSeq and is a predicted model, not a curated record. NCBI's taxonomy places the organism in Eukaryota, Metazoa, Chordata, Hyperoartia, Petromyzontiformes, Petromyzontidae.
ACGCGCGCGCACGCCCGCGCGAGCGCGCGUGACAGAGGCGUGCGGGCGCAUCGAUCGCAUCAGAGUGAAUUCGGUCCAAGUUUGACAUUUCCGGCCGUCUCGGCGCUUAAUAUGAAUAAAAUAAACAAUGCGUUGCCUGACCCCAGCGGCACGACGCACUUAAGGCAAACAGCUGUGAAGCGAGCGAUCAAUGCAAUGCGUACUCUGCUUUGCGGGGGUGGUGGUGGUGGUGCGGCGCGAACGGGCCCCCGUGUCUGCCGGGCGCAUCAAGCUAGGUUGACCCGGGGAAGGAUAAAUUUGGACUUGAACCUUAUGCCGGAGACGCCUUGCAGCACCGCUGUGUAUUCGCACAGAACCGGGGCAAAGUUGGGAGAGCCAUCGGCUCCACGCGAGCCUUGGGGCUGCGCGCAUUCGCAGGCAGCUGCGACCUUGGUUCCCACAUCAUCGUCGUCAUCAUCGCGAUCCAUGGGCAGAUAGCCCGUGGUAGGCGUCCACUGCGCGUGUCGCUUGUUAUUGUUGUUGAAAUUGUUUCCACUUUCAUCUGUCUUGUGCCAAAAUGCUCAAGUAGUGCAACAUGCUCCUGGCACCAAUAUCUUGUGAUGCCGUCGCCUAAGCCGUUCUCUUGACGAAUGGGCGGACGGUGGACUUCUCCACAAAAUCUGGCUGUCUGCCUGAUGAAGCUAGUUGUAAUCGCUGGCGAAACGUCGUACUCAGAUUGCAAAUGUUGUGGCUUGGCUCUCCGACACACAACGGUGGUGCUGUACUAGUGACCAAUUGGCCACGUUCUGUUCAAGUGACACUCCUUACUAAGUGGCCGUGUCGGAUGGUGGCGCGUUUGACGACACAUUUAUAUAUUUACGCGAUUUAACCCAAACACAAAAAAAAACAACGGUAUCAUGGAUGAUAUUGGUCGCGAAAACCCGCGUGUUAAACCAAAGCCAUUCUUUGUUCGGUCUCCCUCUCUUCUCCGGUUUUAAGUCUUCAUUCGCCAUUCUCAUCAUCUUCGUAGUCUCGGAAUUCGCCUGCUUUUUCCCUGAUGGUGUCGUCGCUGCUGCUGCUGCUGCUCAUUUUUCUCGGCCCAAAUCCCGGCGACUCGGUUGGGGACGCGGACGGUGUUGAUCCGGGCGACGUUCAAGCCGCUAUCCUUCGUCAGGAGAAGAAUAACGCCUCGGACGUGGCCCCGGGUGAACACUCAUGAGGAAUGAAAGUCGCCCUUCUGUGAAUGUGGCGAGGCGUGAUCUGUUCUCCACGUCAUCGGCCACUGCCCCUUUGUGUGCAUCCGCACGAGGUACCAACGAGUAUAGCGAUGGUGCAGUAGGCGGUGCGUGUAGGAGGUUCGAACGCUCCGAGGCAUCGUGAGUUACAUCAUCAGUAACUCCCGAUGCAUUGGACUAGAUGAUCAACACAACGCUGUGAUGUGUCAUCACGUGCUUGUCACAUGCCAUACGAAAAGGAGAGGGAUCGAGUCUUGGCACAAUAAUCACCACAUCAAACCAGAUUGGCCAAGGGAACUCAAGUUGGUUGUUUGUUCACAUUUACGGCCGGGCCCUUCGUAACACCUCCCCAGCGCCUUCACGCCGACAUUUACAAGCUGGACGAGCCCACUGCGUUCAGCGAGCCCGAACAUUCGUGCGUUGGAGUCGAUAGCCCGGGGGGGGGGUGGGAGUUGGGGACGUUGCGAGUGAUUCCGCGAAGACGCAGAGAGAGGUCGUUAGCAGCUGCUGACGCAGGGCGGCCAACGUCGGCCAUCUGAUGGGACAUCUGCUGCGUCUCUUGUCUCCCACGCCCACCCCACCCACGUCUCCGCUGCGCGAGGGGCGCCUUGUGGUUGGAAUUGAAUUCCUCUCGCGACGACUGCCGUGGGUUGAGUGCCCCCGCGAACUCCACUCGGCCGAUUCCUCCAGCCGUGUUGAGGACUCGGUCUUUACCAGACGCUCACAGCGUCAUCCAGACAGAGUUCAACCACCACUACCACCACCAUCAUCACCACACUGCAGGUUCCAGAUCGACCUUCUGAUUACAGUCGAUGGCUGCAUGCAGCGGCAGCAGCAACAGCAGCAGCAACAGCAGCAGCAACAGUGGCCAUGUCCUCGAUGUCGGGGAUGGGGAUUAAACAAAUAAUAAAACUGUCCCUGAAGCCAUCGUGGGGUCAGCUGUAGUUUUUUUGUUGUUUAAAGCCACGCGCCAAGACAUCCGAAUGGGACCUUGUCAACUUAUCGUGCGGAAGAUAAUUCUGUUAAAUUAUGGAAGGGACGAGAGAGGCGCCUGGGGGUCUUUUUUCCAGCAUGGAUCAGCGGCAUCGCGAGAUCCGCACCACUUGACAAAGUUCAUCGCUGGGUCACGGA